AGUGGCGGACGGGUGAGUAACGCGUGGGUAACCUGCCUCACACUGGGGGAGUAACAGUUAGAAAUAGCUGCUAAUACCGCAUAAGCGCACAGUUCCGCAUGGAACAGUGUGAAAAACUCCGGUGGUGUGAGAUGGACCCGCGUCUGAUUAGCCAGUUGGCGGGGUAACGGCCCACCAAGGCAACGAUCAGUAGCCGGCCUGAGAGGGUGAACGGCCACAUUGGGACUGAGACACGGCCCAAACUCCUACGGGAGGCAGCAUG
This 262-nucleotide ribosomal RNA is filed under the name uncultured bacterium. RNAcentral's name for it is "partial 16S ribosomal RNA". It matches the Rfam family "Bacterial small subunit ribosomal RNA", at positions 94 to 353 of the family's 1533-position model. The record is from RNAcentral.